RNAcentral lists this long non-coding RNA (268 nucleotides) under Medicago truncatula (barrel medic). RNAcentral's name for it is "long non-coding RNA (MTRU_LNC000483)". Lineage: Eukaryota; Viridiplantae; Streptophyta; Magnoliopsida; Fabales; Fabaceae. The record is from RNAcentral.
ACUAGAUAGGCCACAUGCUUCACAAGGAGGUGAGAAGGUAGGUGUGCUCAUGCGAUCAAGUCUUUGAGAUAAUGUAUUCACCUUGGUAGAUAAAUAGUCAAUGGAAGAGGUUUCAUCCAUACCUGCCUCUUUUUUAGAGGGUGAAGGAUCGAUGGUUGCUUUUUCUUCUGUCCAUUGGAAGAGGUUUAGAGCCAUGUUCUCAAUUAACGCAUAAGCUGUUGUGAAGUCUUUGUUCAUUAGGGCACCACCUGCAGCUGCAUCAAUAGUC